AACGAACGCUGGCGGCAUGCCUAACACAUGCAAGUCGAACGAGACCUUCGGGUCUAGUGGCGCACGGGUGCGUAACGCGUGGGAACCUGCCCUUAGGUUCGGAACAACUCCCCGAAAGGGGUGCUAAUACCGGAUAAUGUCUCCGGACCAAAGAUGUAUCGCCUUUGGAUGGGCCCGCGUUGGAUUAGCUAGUUGGUAGGGUAAAAGCCUACCAAGGCGACGAUCCAUAGCUGGUCUGGGAGGAUGAUCAGCCACACUGGGACUGAGACACAGCCCAGACUCCUACGGGAGGCAGCAGUGGGGAAUAUUGGACGAUGGGCGAAAGCCUGAUCCAGCAAUGCCGCGUAAGUGAUGAAGGCCUUAGGGUUGUAAAGCUCUUUUACCCGGGAUGAUAAUGACAGUACCGGGAGAAUAAGCUCCGGCUAACUCCGUG
This 433-nucleotide ribosomal RNA is filed under the name uncultured bacterium. Its description in RNAcentral is "partial 16S ribosomal RNA". It matches the Rfam family "Bacterial small subunit ribosomal RNA", at positions 29 to 507 of the family's 1533-position model. The record is from RNAcentral.